RNAcentral lists this ribosomal RNA (253 nucleotides) under uncultured bacterium. RNAcentral describes it as "partial 16S ribosomal RNA". It matches the Rfam family "Bacterial small subunit ribosomal RNA", at positions 524 to 776 of the family's 1533-position model. The record is from RNAcentral.
UACAGAGGGGGCAAGCGUUGUUCGGAAUUACUGGGCGUAAAGGGCGCGUAGGCGGCCUUCUAAGUCGAACGUGAAAUCCCCGGGCUCAACCCGGGAACUGCGUCCGAUACUGGAAGGCUUGAAUCCGGGAGAGGGAUGCGGAAUUCCAGGUGUAGCGGUGAAAUGCGUAGAUAUUGGAAAGACCACCAAUGGCGAAGGCACUCUACUGGGCCACAACUGACACUGAGAGACGAAAGCUAGGGGAGCAAAUGGG